GUUUCAAAACUUGCAUAAACAACUUGCAGUUUACAAGUUGAAAGUUUCAGAAUUUGGAGUUUUAUGAUAAAGAAGCGAUAACCAAAAGAACAAGACUUCUUCCUAAGCAUCAUGAUAGAUUACAAAUAUGUAAGUAGCUACUAGUAAUCUUCUUCAAUCCAAGGAUCCAAAUCAAGUCAUCAUGAGUUCCUCCACAACCGAAGUUCCACCGCUUCAAACCAUGGACACCGAAGAAGAUGAUGACUUUAAAACACAGACAGUAGAAGUUUUUGCCUCAUGUUGUUCAAUCUGGGAUUGCUCGGGAUGUGAAGGAUGUUGCACUUGUCUAUCAGAAUGUUGUGCAAUGGCUGUCGUAUGUUUGCAAGUUUGUGGUUCAUGCUAGGAUUUUAUUAUGACCUCAUCUCAUGUUUCUUCUCCAAUGUUCCCCGNCUUUUUUUUUUUUUUUUUUUUUUUUGCUAAAUAUGUUCCCCGUUUGUUGUUUCCAUUGUCAAAUGUUUUUUUUUUGUAAUACAAUAACAAUAAUGUAUAUUGAGUAUCCUAAUUUUAAAUAAGAAUCGGUCCAACCGAACCAAAA
Molecule: long non-coding RNA, 574 nt
Organism: Camelina sativa (false flax)
Lineage: Eukaryota; Viridiplantae; Streptophyta; Magnoliopsida; Brassicales; Brassicaceae
Source: RefSeq, a predicted model, not a curated record